CUGAACCAGCCAAGUAGCGUGAAGGAUGACUGCCCUAUGGGUUGUAAACUUCUUUUAUAAAGGAAUAAAGUCGGGUAUGGAUACCCGUUUGCAUGUACUUUAUGAAUAAGGAUCGGCUAACUCUGUGCCAGCAGCCGCGGUAAUACGGAGGAUCCGAGCGUUAUCCGGAUUUAUUGGGUUUAAAGGGAGCGUAGAUGGAUGUUUAAGUCAGUUGUGAAAGUUUGCGG
RNAcentral lists this ribosomal RNA (227 nucleotides) under uncultured Bacteroides sp. RNAcentral's name for it is "partial 16S ribosomal RNA". It matches the Rfam family "Bacterial small subunit ribosomal RNA", at positions 383 to 607 of the family's 1533-position model. The record is from RNAcentral. Lineage: Bacteria; Pseudomonadati; Bacteroidota; Bacteroidia; Bacteroidales; Bacteroidaceae.